Molecule: ribosomal RNA, 493 nt
Filed under: uncultured bacterium
Lineage: Bacteria
Description: partial 16S ribosomal RNA
Rfam family: Bacterial small subunit ribosomal RNA
Source: RNAcentral
AUUGAACGCUGGCGGCAUGCUUUACACAUGCAAGUCGAACGGCAACGAGGAGAAGCUUGCUUCUCUGUCGGCGAGUGGCGAACGGGUGAGUAUAGCAUCGGAACGUGCCAAGUAGUGGGGGAUAACCAAACGAAAGUUUGGCUAAUACCGCGUAAGCUCCAAGGAGGAAAGUAGGGGACCUAAAUAAGGCCUUACGCUAUUUGAUCGGCCGAUGUCGGAUUAGCUAGUUGGUGGGGUAAUGGCUCACCAAGGCAAUGAUCCGUAGCGGGUCUGAGAGGACGAUCCGCCACACUGGGACUGAGACACGGCCCAGACUCCUACGGGAGGCAGCAGUGGGGAAUUUUGGACAAUGGGGGAAACCCUGAUCCAGCCAUGCCGCGUGUAUGAAGAAGGCCUUAGGGUUGUAAAGUACUUUUGUUAGGGAAGAAAAGCUAGUUUUUAAUAAAAAUUAGUGAUGACAGUACCUAAAGAAUAAGCACCGGCUAACUACGUG